This 497-nucleotide ribosomal RNA is filed under the name uncultured bacterium. RNAcentral describes it as "partial 16S ribosomal RNA". It matches the Rfam family "Bacterial small subunit ribosomal RNA", at positions 28 to 507 of the family's 1533-position model. The record is from RNAcentral.
GAUGAACGCUGGCGGCGUGCCUAAUACAAGCAAGUCGAGCGAACAGAUAAGGAGCUUGCUCCUUUGACGUUAGCGGCGGACGGGUGAGUAACACGUGGGUAACCUACCUAUAAGACUGGAAUAACUCCGGGAAACCGGGGCUAAUGCCGGAUAACAUUUAGAACCGCAUGGUUCUAAAGUGAAAGAUGGUUUUGCUAUCACUUAUAGAUGGACCCGCGCCGUAUUAGCUAGUUGGUAAGGUAACGGCUUACCAAGGCAACGAUACGUAGCCGACCUGAGAGGGUGAUCGGCCACACUGGAACUGAGACACGGUCCAGACUCCUACGGGAGGCAGCAGUAGGGAAUCUUCCGCAAUGGGCGAAAGCCUGACGGAGCAACGCCGCGUGAGUGAUGAAGGUCUUCGGAUCGUAAAACUCUGUUAUUAGGGAAGAACAAAUGUGUAAGUAACUGUGCACGUCUUGACGGUACCUAAUCAGAAAGCCACGGCUAACUACGUG